This 466-nucleotide ribosomal RNA is filed under the name uncultured bacterium. RNAcentral's name for it is "partial 16S ribosomal RNA". It matches the Rfam family "Bacterial small subunit ribosomal RNA", at positions 28 to 507 of the family's 1533-position model. The record is from RNAcentral.
GACGAACGCUGGCGGCGCGCCUAACACAUGCAAGUCGAACGAGCGAGAGAGAGCUUGCUUUCUCAAGCGAGUGGCGAACGGGUGAGUAACGCGUGAGGAACCUGCCUCAAAGAGGGGGACAACAGUUGGAAACGACUGCUAAUACCGCAUAAGCCCACAGGUCGGCAUCGACCAGAGGGAAAAGGAGCAAUCCGCUUUGAGAUGGCCUCGCGUCCGAUUAGCUAGUUGGUGAGGUAACGGCCCACCAAGGCAACGAUCGGUAGCCGGACUGAGAGGUUGAACGGCCACAUUGGGACUGAGACACGGCCCAGACUCCUACGGGAGGCAGCAGUGGGGAAUAUUGCACAAUGGGGGAAACCCUGAUGCAGCGACGCCGCGUGGAGGAAGAAGGUCUUCGGAUUGUAAACUCCUGUUGUUGAGGAAGAUUAUGACGGUACUCAACAAGGAAGUGACGGCUAACUACGUG